RNAcentral lists this ribosomal RNA (563 nucleotides) under Klebsiella pneumoniae. RNAcentral's name for it is "bacterial LSU rRNA". It matches the Rfam family "Bacterial large subunit ribosomal RNA", at positions 104 to 712 of the family's 2925-position model. The record is from RNAcentral. Lineage: Bacteria; Pseudomonadati; Pseudomonadota; Gammaproteobacteria; Enterobacterales; Enterobacteriaceae.
CCGGCGAUGUCCGAAUGGGGAAACCCAGUGCAAUUCGUUGCACUAUCGUUAACUGAAUACAUAGGUUAACGAGGCGAACCGGGGGAACUGAAACAUCUAAGUACCCCGAGGAAAAGAAAUCAACCGAGAUUCCCCCAGUAGCGGCGAGCGAACGGGGAGCAGCCCAGAGUCUGAAUCAGCUUGUGUGUUAGUGGAACGGUCUGGAAAGUCCGACGGUACAGGGUGAUAGUCCCGUACACCAAAAUGCACAGGUUGUGAACUCGAAGAGUAGGGCGGGACACGUGGUAUCCUGUCUGAAUAUGGGGGGACCAUCCUCCAAGGCUAAAUACUCCUGACUGACCGAUAGUGAACCAGUACCGUGAGGGAAAGGCGAAAAGAACCCCGGCGAGGGGAGUGAAAAAGAACCUGAAACCGUGUACGUACAAGCAGUGGGAGCACCUUCGGGUGUGACUGCGUACCUUUUGUAUAAUGGGUCAGCGACUUAUAUUCUGUAGCAAGGUUAACCGUAUAGGGGAGCCGCAGGGAAACCGAGUCUUAACUGGGCGUUAAGUUGCAGGGUAUAG